UCUGUCACAGGACUUGAAUGAAAUCUUUCUGGUGCCCCAGGCCAGUCUUCUUUGUUUUGGAGGCAAAUAAGUGACAUGCCCAGGAUCCAUCAGCUGUUUAUGGGGGCUCAGCCCAAGAUCUGUGGCUUCCCAGAGAGAUGGCUGGAAUCUCGAUUCCAGGCAGGCGCCAGGUUGGGUUUUCUCUGACUAACCUUGUGAUCAAAUUCUCAGCCUCCCUCUCGGCAGGCACACAAGUCUUCAAAAAGGAAGCCCAGGGUCCACACACUCUGCCUCCUGGGCCGAGGCAAAUGGCGCCCAUACGUGGGGCCCGGAAGAUUUUGGAGAAAGGAGUAGCAUUGCUAGAUCGAACCUCUCAAUAAGAAGACUAGGCAGUCCCGGAGAAUUUAGAGAAUAAGGUCGCCACGGGUCCACCUGCCCCGAGGAACAGAGACCUGGUUGUGGUAUUGGCUUGCUUUUGGAACCUUGAUCAGCUUUGGCAUACCCAGUCUGCAUAGAAUGAGAGCCUCCUAUCACUUCACAGCCUGAAGCAGUAGUUUUUAAAAUGAGACCAUGGACUGGACCCUGCAUCUACUGUACUUUGGACUGAUGAGGGACUUUGGGAAUGUUUGAUGACUGACUGUUGAAUCUUUCCUGGAUCACUCUGUGUUUAAGAUUUGGGAUGGGAUUUGUUAAAACUGUAAUUAUUGCUGUUAUGUUUGAGGGAUUUUUAGGAAA
Long non-coding RNA from Sarcophilus harrisii (Tasmanian devil), 714 nucleotides. RefSeq lists it as uncharacterized. The record is from RefSeq and is a predicted model, not a curated record. NCBI's taxonomy places the organism in Eukaryota, Metazoa, Chordata, Mammalia, Dasyuromorphia, Dasyuridae. The transcript is spliced from 3 exons.